This is a transfer RNA of Ovis aries (sheep), 73 nucleotides long. It matches the Rfam family "tRNA". Rfam says of the family: Transfer RNA (tRNA) molecules are approximately 80 nucleotides in length. Their secondary structure includes four short double-helical elements and three loops (D, anti-codon, and T loops). Further hydrogen bonds mediate the characteristic L-shaped molecular structure. tRNAs have two regions of fundamental functional importance: the anti-codon, which is responsible for specific mRNA codon recognition, and the 3' end, to which the tRNAs corresponding amino acid is attached (by aminoacyl-tRNA synthetases). tRNAs cope with the degeneracy of the genetic code in two manners: having more than one tRNA (with a specific anti-codon) for a particular amino acid; and 'wobble' base-pairing, i.e. permitting non-standard base-pairing at the 3rd anti-codon position. NCBI's taxonomy places the organism in Eukaryota, Metazoa, Chordata, Mammalia, Artiodactyla, Bovidae. The record is from Rfam.
UCCCUGAAGGUCCAGUAGUCAAGGCUCUGCACUGCUGAUGCAGGGGGCAUGGGUUCAAUCCCCGGUUGGGGAA